This 822-nucleotide ribosomal RNA is filed under the name uncultured bacterium. RNAcentral's name for it is "bacterial SSU rRNA". It matches the Rfam family "Bacterial small subunit ribosomal RNA", at positions 626 to 1449 of the family's 1533-position model. The record is from RNAcentral.
UUNUGAACUGGGUGACUAGAGUGUGUCAGAGGGAGGUAGAAUUCCACGUGUAGCAGUGAAAUGCGUAGAGAUGUGGAGGAAUACCGAUGGCGAAGGCAGCCUCCUGGGAUAACACUGACGUUCAUGCCCGAAAGCGUGGGUAGCAAACAGGAUUAGAUACCCUGGUAGUCCACGCCCUAAACGAUGUCGAUUAGCUGUUGGGCAGCAUGACUGCUUAGUAGCGAAGCUAACGCGUGAAAUCGACCGCCUGGGGAGUACGGUCGCAAGAUUAAAACUCAAAGGAAUUGACGGGGACCCGCACAAGCGGUGGAUGAUGUGGAUUAAUUCGAUGCAACGCGAAGAACCUUACCUGGUCUUGACAUGUACGGAACCCUCCAGAGACGGAGGAGUGCCUUCGGGAGCCGUAACACAGGUGCUGCAUGGCUGUCGUCAGCUCGUGUCGUGAGAUGUUGGGUUAAGUCCCGCAACGAGCGCAACCCUUGUCAUUAGUUGCCAUCAUUAAGUUGGGCACUCUAAUGAGACUGCCGGUGACAAGCCGGAGGAAGGUGGGGAUGACGUCAAGUCCUCAUGGCCCUUAUGACCAGGGCUUCACACGUCAUACAAUGGUCGGUACAGAGGGUAGCCAAGCCGCGAGGCGGAGCCAAUCUCACAAAACUGAUCGUAGUCCGGAUUGCACUCUGCAACUCGAGUGCAUGAAGUCGGAAUCGCUAGUAAUCGCAGGUCAGCAUACUGCGGUGAAUACGUUCCCGGGUCUUGUACACACCGCCCGUCACACCAUGGGAGUGGGGGAUACCAGAAGUAGGUAGGGUAACCGCAAGGAGC